Molecule: ribosomal RNA, 444 nt
Filed under: uncultured bacterium
Lineage: Bacteria
Description: SSU rRNA
Rfam family: Bacterial small subunit ribosomal RNA
Source: RNAcentral
AGAACGAACGCUGGCGGCAUGCCUAACACAUGCAAGUCGAACGAGACCUUCGGGUCUAGUGGCGCACGGGUGCGUAACGCGUGGGAAUCUGCCCAAAGGUUCGGAACAACUCAGGGAAACUUGAGCUAAUACCGGAUGAUGUCGCAAGACCAAAGAUUUAUUGCCUUUGGAUGAGCCCGCGUAGGAUUAGCUUGUUGGUGAGGUAAAGGCUCACCAAGGCUACGAUCCUUAGCUGGUCUGAGAGGAUGAUCAGCCACACUGGGACUGAGACACGGCCCAGACUCCUACGGGAGGCAGCAGUGGGGAAUAUUGGACAAUGGGCGAAAGCCUGAUCCAGCAAUGCCGCGUGAGUGAUGAAGGCCCUAGGGUUGUAAAGCUCUUUACCCGGGAGAUAAUGACUGUACCGGGAGAAUAAGCCCCGGCUAACUCCGCGCCAGCAGCCGC